UGCGAUUUCUGCGACUUACCACCGUAUGAAAAAGUUACAUCUGUCAAUACAGAAAAUUGCAUCUCAACAAACCUGUCAUUGGCAAGUACCUGAACUACAUUUCAGUCACUCAGUAAAGUGAUAACUCAAAAUAUCAUUGUCAACAGAUCUGAAGAAAUUGCCACUGCGUCUUUAGACCGUUUUCGUCAGAGGAGAGACACAGUUCUGACUCUGAUUACUGGUUGCUGUACGUAUCUAUCCACAUCAAGGCUGUUGAGAGAGACUCGUGAAGAUUCAAGACAGCUCUUAGAGGAUUUGCAGUUUAAAAGUGAAAUAAGU
This is a long non-coding RNA of Schistocerca cancellata (South American locust), 318 nucleotides long. RefSeq lists it as uncharacterized. The record is from RefSeq and is a predicted model, not a curated record. Lineage: Eukaryota; Metazoa; Arthropoda; Insecta; Orthoptera; Acrididae. The transcript is spliced from 3 exons.